Molecule: small RNA, 30 nt
Filed under: Bombyx mori (domestic silkworm)
Lineage: Eukaryota; Metazoa; Arthropoda; Insecta; Lepidoptera; Bombycidae
Description: ovarian small RNA-9151
Source: RNAcentral
UGUUAGACUCACUGUCUCGGAUGCCAUCGA